CUUGCUCAGAUUGAACGCUGGCGGCAGGCCUAACACAUGCAAGUCGAGCGGUAGAGAGAAGCUUGCUUCUCUUGAGAGCGGCGGACGGGUGAGUAAUGCCUAGGAAUCUGCCUGGUAGUGGGGGAUAACGUCCGGAAACGGACGCUAAUACCGCAUACGUCCUACGGGAGAAAGCAGGGGACCUUCGGGCCUUGCGCUAUCAGAUGAGCCUAGGUCGGAUUAGCUAGUUGGUGGGGUAAUGGCUCACCAAGGCGACGAUCCGUAACUGGUCUGAGAGGAUGAUCAGUCACACUGGAACUGAGACACGGUCCAGACUCCUACGGGAGGCAGCAGUGGGGAAUAUUGGACAAUGGGCGAAAGCCUGAUCCAGCCAUGCCGCGUGUGUGAAGAAGGUCUUCGGAUUGUAAAGCACUUUAAGUUGGGAGGAAGGGCAGUAAAUUAAUACUUUGCUGUUUUGACGUUACCGACAGAAUAAGCACCGGCUAACUCUGUGCCAGCAGCCGCGGUAAUACAGAGGGUGCAAGCGUUAAUCGGAAUUACUGGGCGUAAAGCGCGCGUAGGUGGUUCGUUAAGUUGGAUGUGAAAUCCCCGGGCUCAACCUGGGAACUGCAUUCAAAACUGACGAGCUAGAGUAUGGUAGAGGGUGGUGGAAUUUCCUGUGUAGCGGUGAAAUGCGUAGAUAUAGGAAGGAACACCAGUGGCGAAGGCGACCACCUGGACUGAUACUGACACU
Molecule: ribosomal RNA, 733 nt
Filed under: Pseudomonas sp. S9(2016)
Lineage: Bacteria; Pseudomonadati; Pseudomonadota; Gammaproteobacteria; Pseudomonadales; Pseudomonadaceae
Description: bacterial SSU rRNA
Rfam family: Bacterial small subunit ribosomal RNA
Source: RNAcentral